This 266-nucleotide ribosomal RNA is filed under the name uncultured bacterium. RNAcentral's name for it is "partial 16S ribosomal RNA". It matches the Rfam family "Bacterial small subunit ribosomal RNA", at positions 793 to 1055 of the family's 1533-position model. The record is from RNAcentral.
GUCCACGCCGUAAACGAUGAACACUAGGUUUUGACCCCGUCAACGGGUCAGAGCCGCAGCUAACGCGUUAAGUGUUCCGCCUGGGGAGUACGGUCGCAAGACUGAAACUCAAAGGAAUUGACGGGGCCCGCACAAGCGGUGGAGCAUGUGGUUUAAUUCGACGCAACGCGCAGAACCUUACCAGGGCUUGACAUGGAAAGGACAGAACGAGAGAUCGUUCCUUCUCCGCAAGGGGACCUUUCACACAGGUGCUGCAUGGCUGUCGU